AUGUAUUUUCCUCAAACUCACAAUAAAAAUUACUGUCCAAGUAAAUCGAGUCAAAUUAAAGAGGCCACAGGCUUUGGGCCCAUAUUUGAGGAGGAGCCCUUGGACACAGUGUAUGCGGAGGAUUCACCAGAGAACAAAAUCUCCAUGAACUGCAGAGCACAGGCCUACCCUCCGGCCAUUAUCAAGUGGUGGUUAAACAACUGGGAAAUUAAACUGAUGGAGCAACCUGAUGAGCACUUUAGCCUGGUGGGAGGAAACCUGGUCAUCACCAACCCAGACAAGAGCAAGCAUGCUGGGAAAUAUGUGUGUGUGGCUAAGAACGUGUACGGCACUGUCAUCAGCAAAGAGGCCACUGUCAAAUUUGGAUACCUAAACCAGUUCCCUACAGAUGAGAGAGAGCCGGUGCAUGUUAAGGAGGGACAAGGAGCAGUGCUGCUGUGUUCUCCUCCCUCUCGCUAUCCAAGUGAGGUGAUGUUCCGCUGGAUCUACAAUGACUUCCCAAACUUCAUCAUACCAGACCAGAGGCGUUUCGUGUCACAGACCACUGGCAAUAUGUACAUCGCUAAAGUCGAGGCAUCUGAUGUUGGGAAUUAUUCUUGUUUCGUGUCAAGCCCCACCAUCGGCAAGAGUGUUUUCAGCAUUGAGCGCUGUAAAAUUACCCACAAUACCACGAUUUUUGCUCAUAAUUGCCUUACUGAGACCACUGUGAAGCGGUAUCCUGCUGAUAUCCGUGUGAAAUUUCCCAAGACUUAUGCUUUGGUGCAUCAGAACAUCACUCUGGAGUGCUUUGCCCUUGGAAAUCCGCUCCCACACAUCCGCUGGAGGAAGUUAGACGCUGAUCUCCCGCCCAACUAUGAGGUCAGCAUGAAUGGAGCUUUACUGCACCUGAUUAACGUUCAGUACGAGGAUGAAGGGAGCUACGAGUGUGAGACGCUCAACGUUAAAGGGAUGGACUGGUAUCGACAGUGGCUCUAUGUGACCUACCUGAAAUUCUGCAUUGCGCAUACGAUGGAUACUUUACUAUCCCAUGAGAAAGAUGUUGGUAGCGAACUCACUCUCAGGUGUGUUGCCGUGGGGAAGCCUUUACCAUGGAUACGCUGGCUGAAGGAUGGCUAUUCGUAUGGCAAAGGGGAGCUGAAGUUCUCCAGUCUCACGUUUGAGGAUUCGGGCAUGUAUCAGUGUAUUGCUGAGAAUGAAUGGGGGACCAUCUAUGCUAGCGCGGAGCUUCGGGUUGUCUCCUGUGCACCAACAUUCAUUUAUAAUCCAGUGAAGAAGGUUCUGCUCGGGGCUGAAAACGGUCGUGUGGUUAUAGAGUGCAAACCCAGCGCUGCUCCUAAACCCAAGUUCAUCUGGAAACGAGGCUCAGAGCUGCUGACCAACUCUUCAAGGAUGUUAAUUUGGGAUGAUGGAAGUCUGGAGAUUCUGAACGUGUCAAAAAGUGACGAGGGCUCGUACACAUGCUAUGCUGAGAAUGACCGCGGCAAAUCCAACAGCACAGGGACCCUCACUAUCACCGAGGCCACCAAAAUCACAGAGGCUCCAUCAGACACUGAGGCAGUUGUAGGUGACACUACAAUUCUCCAGUGUUCUGCAUCAUUUGAUCCCAGCCUGGACAUCACCUUUAUCUGGACUGUUGAUUCCUACGUCAUCAACUUCUACACAGACUUUGAACACUACGAGCUGCUCAUGAACAGCGGAGACCUGCUGAUCAAGAACAUCCAGGUGAGGCACGCAGGACACUAUUCCUGCACAGCUCAGACCAUAGUGGACAAUGCCACCGCAGAAGCUGAUGUUUUUGUCAAAGGUCUGCCUGGUCCUCCAGGUGGUGUCCGUGUGGAAGAGAUUGGAGACACGUCAGUAAAACUACGAUGGAGUCUGGGAUCAGACCACGGUAGUCCUUUUAUCCAACAGGUUGUACAAACACGAGACUUUUACGCCCUGGAUCCUGAGGACUGGAAAACCGCAUCCACCUCUCCUGUGUUUUUGGACGGAUCUACAGAGUCAGCCACCAUAGUUGACCUUUACCCCUGGAUGCAAUAUGAAUUCCGUGUGCAUGCAAUCAAUGAAUUUGGAGCUGGGGAAAACAGCCGUCCGUCCAUCAAAAUCAAGACAUGGGACGCCAGGCCUACAGUAGCUCCUUCUGAUGUACUGGGGCAAGUUGGAAUAAGCGGAGAGCUUAUCGUGACCUGGACUCCUGUAAAGCCUCAGUUCUUCUUUGGUAAAAAAUUUGGCUACGUCGUGGCGUUUAAGCAGCAUGAGGAUUCUGAAUGGAAGUGGACGACUGUGGAGGAUCCCGAGACUAGACGCUACGUCUACAAAGAUAGCAUGACCCCAGACACUGAGAUACAGGUCAAAGUGAAAACCUACAAUAACAAAGGAGAAGGACCCUCAAGUCUUAUAUCAGUGGUCGACUCACCAAGGCUAGCACCCACUGAAGCUCCAUUAGAUGUCUACGCCCGCCAGGUCACCGCUACAGAAGCUUUGGUCUGGUGGUUACCGAUCUACCAGAUUCGUUACUGGAGGAAGUACGAUGAUAAUGAAGCUGCUGCCUCUCGAGUUCUUGUGCAUAGAGCAAUUAACCAAACUCGCCUGGAGAACAUGCGGCCUGACUCCCACUACCUCAUAGAGGUACGAGCGUUCAACGGAGCUGGGCUCGGGCCACCCAGCGAGCAUUGUGAAAUGUUCACCAGGAGACCACCCCCAAGUCGCCAUUUGAGAGUCUACAAAUAUGUCAGCUUUAAUCGCAAAUGGCUCUAUCUAUAUUGGGAUCACAUCUAUAACUACUGGAAUGAGUCAUAUGUGGAGGGAUACAAGAUUUUGUUCAGGAAGGAAGGAGAGCGUUAUGGGAAGCUUUACACCACAGGCAGACACUACAUUGACUUUCCCAUGCCAGAGACAGGUGAUUACAUCAUAGAGGUCCGAGCCCGCUGCGAGGGAGGUGAUGGACCCAUAUCACAGAUCAGAGUGCAAGGUGAAUACUGUCUUUUACAUAUCAGUAAGGAUUUCAUUUUUUAUCAACCUCAUUCAUCAUGUUCCUACCCUAAUCAUGUUCUAAUAAUUACAAAAUGAUAUCUGAAGUUCUGCAUAGUUUAAAGUAUAUAUUCACUACAAGAACUGAAAUAAGUUUCACAUAGUCAUAGAUGCAUAGAUGCAGUUACACAAUUGUAACCUUUAUUCAUACUGAUCUUUCUUACCAUUGUUUUGUAUUAUGUUCAGGGAAAGCCGCUUUGGGUGCUGAAUCUCUCAGCGUCGCCUCUGUCUUGCUGCUGGCACUGGGAUGGAUGAAUUUAGGCCUGUAGGCAUAAACAGCUGUCAACACUUUUGGCGAAAUUCACUUCUAAGAAACAAUCUUUAUAUAUUUUGAGUGCAUUUCCUUAAAGCGGUGGUUUUCGUGGUGUAGAUGAAGUUUGUUUGGGAGUGUAGAAUAUAAAGAAUUUAUACCCUCUUGGUUUGCCUUACAAACUACAGUACCCGCAAUCAACUAAUGAAACGUAUUGUAAAAUAAAUGUGGUGGCAGGGUAUGGUGAACUUUUUUG
Long non-coding RNA from Cyprinus carpio carpio, 3536 nucleotides. The record is from Ensembl. Lineage: Eukaryota; Metazoa; Chordata; Actinopteri; Cypriniformes; Cyprinidae.